UACGAAGGGGGCUAGCGUUGCUCGGAAUCACUGGGCGUAAAGCGCACGUAGGCGGCUUGCUAAGUCAGGGGUGAAAUCCUGGAGCUCAACUCCAGAACUGCCUUUGAUACUGGCGAGCUUGAGUUCGGGAGAGGUGAGUGGAACUGCGAGUGUAGAGGUGAAAUUCGUAGAUAUUCGCAAGAACACCAGUGGCGAAGGCGGCUCACUGGCCCGAUACUGACGCUGAGGUGCGAGAGCGUGGGGAGCGAACAGG
This 253-nucleotide ribosomal RNA is filed under the name uncultured bacterium. Its description in RNAcentral is "partial 16S ribosomal RNA". It matches the Rfam family "Bacterial small subunit ribosomal RNA", at positions 524 to 776 of the family's 1533-position model. The record is from RNAcentral.